CACGUAGUUAGCCGGCGCUUCUUCCGCAGGUACACGUCAACUUCGUCCCUGCCGAAAGAGGUUUACAACCCGAAGGCCUUCAUCCCCCACGCGGCGUCGCUGCGUCAGGCUUUCGCCCAUUGCGCAAUAUUCCCCACUGCUGCCUCCCGUAGGAGUCUGGGCCGUGUCUCAGUCCCAGUGUGGCCGGUCGCCCUCUCAGGCCGGCUACCCGUCGUCGCCUUGGUAGGCCGUUACCCACCAACAAGCUGAUAGGCCGCGAGCCCAUCCCUGACCGGAAGACCCAAACGGGCCAACCUUUCCACCCACCCCAUGCGAAGGCAGGUCAUAUCCGGUAUUAGACCCGGUUUCCCAGGCUUAUCCCAGUGUCAGGGGCAGGUUGCUCACGUGUUACUCACCCGUUCGCCGCUCGAGUACCCCCGAACGGGGCCUUUCCGCUCGACUUGCAUGUGUUAAGCACGCCGCCAGCGUCGUCCUCGUAGCCGACGGAGUCAAACUAC
This 497-nucleotide ribosomal RNA is filed under the name uncultured Streptosporangiaceae bacterium. Its description in RNAcentral is "partial 16S ribosomal RNA". Lineage: Bacteria; Bacillati; Actinomycetota; Actinomycetes; Streptosporangiales; Streptosporangiaceae. The record is from RNAcentral.